UUGCGGCACAUUAAAAGGCCAACCCGUUUUUAUAAUGGGAUAAGCUUUCAUGGACUUCUUCUGCAACUGCAUAACUUGAUGCCUGUUUCAUUUCUUAACAAAUACGGGGAUGGGAAGAUGGACGACUUGUAAAGCAGCGAGAAAAACAAAGAUCUGUUGACAACUCCCCAAGUUUUUGGAAUGCAGAC
Molecule: non-coding RNA, 188 nt
Organism: Zootoca vivipara (common lizard)
Lineage: Eukaryota; Metazoa; Chordata; Lepidosauria; Squamata; Lacertidae
Source: RefSeq, a predicted model, not a curated record